UGGCUCUCGCAUCGAUGAAGAACGCAGCGAAAUGCGAUAAGUAAUGUGAAUUGCAGAAUUCAGUGAAUCAUCGAAUCUUUGAACGCACCUUGCACCCUUUGGUAUUCCGAAGGGUACGCCCGUUUGAGUGUCAUUGUAAUCUCAAGCCCAUAUCUUAUUUGUUAUGGGAGGGGAUUUGGAUGUUGCCGUGUCACAACGGCUCGUCUUAAAUGCUUGAGUGUACCCUGCUUUUGUGGUGUAUUCAGUGUGAUAAACAUCUUCACUGGAGUCUAGUCUCUCUGGGACUGCACUACAUUUUUGGGCUCUAUGCUUUCAAACCGUCCCUCGCAAGACGGACAAUCUUUGACAAUUUGACCUCAAAUCGGGUGGGACUACCCGCUGA
This 382-nucleotide unclassified non-coding RNA is filed under the name uncultured fungus. RNAcentral describes it as "partial contains 5.8S ribosomal RNA and internal transcribed spacer 2". The stretch from base 1 to 133 matches the Rfam family "5.8S ribosomal RNA", at positions 22 to 154 of the family's 154-position model. The record is from RNAcentral. Lineage: Eukaryota; Fungi.